This 372-nucleotide ribosomal RNA is filed under the name Bacteroides fragilis. RNAcentral's name for it is "partial 23S ribosomal RNA". It matches the Rfam family "Bacterial large subunit ribosomal RNA", at positions 1363 to 1726 of the family's 2925-position model. The record is from RNAcentral. Lineage: Bacteria; Pseudomonadati; Bacteroidota; Bacteroidia; Bacteroidales; Bacteroidaceae.
CGCUAAUCGGAUCAGGGUUAGUCGGGUCCUAAGGCUCAGCCGAACGGUGAGGCCGAUGGCAGAACAGGUUAAUAUUCCUGUACUACCUAUAGGAGUGAUGUGGAGACGGAGGAGUGACAACGCCGCGGACUGACGGAAUAGUCCGUUAAAGGGUGUAGAUGUUGAUUAUCCCAGGCAAAUCCGGGAUAAGAGUCGAACCUGACAGUAUACCAAUUUCCUCGGAAAACGGUAAUAGUGCGUGUAAACAUACUCCCAAGAAAAUCCGCUAAACUUAAUCUUAUAGGUACCCGUACCGUAAACGGACACACGUAGUCGGGUUGAAUAUACUCAGGCGCUUGAGUGAAUCACGGUUAAGGAACUAGGCAAAUUGAC